This 408-nucleotide transfer-messenger RNA is filed under the name human gut metagenome. It matches the Rfam family "transfer-messenger RNA". Rfam says of the family: Bacterial tmRNA, also known as 10Sa RNA or SsrA, is named for its dual tRNA and mRNA-like properties. The record is from RNAcentral.
GGGGUCGGCAUGGCUUUGACAGCAAGUCCGGUCGAAAUGUAAGCACGCCGGGCGCACGGAGUACUGCCCGUAAAUCUCGAUCUCCGGAACAAUAAACGGCGAAAAUAACUACGCUCUUGCUGCCUAAUCUUUCCGAGUGAAGGAUUAACGGCCAACGUCCGCUCAAGGAGCGGAGGCGGGAUGCCCUUCCGUAGCCCUGUCCUGUGGCGCCGGGUAUAAGGGUACCAUAAAAACGGGAACAAGCCGACGGGGAGUCCCGACCUGCGGCCGGCAAUCAAACCGGGAAGUAAGCGUGGCCACAGGGUGUUUGUGUCCGGGGCCGCGCCUGACAACCAAUCACAAAACAAGCGUGUAGAAAGCAUCGAGAUUGCUUGUUUGGACCCGGGUUCGACUCCCGGCGGCUCCACA